Molecule: ribosomal RNA, 1623 nt
Filed under: Triticum aestivum (bread wheat)
Lineage: Eukaryota; Viridiplantae; Streptophyta; Magnoliopsida; Poales; Poaceae
Description: partial small subunit ribosomal RNA
Source: RNAcentral
GCCAAAACCUAGCCGCCACCUCCCGCACGCCCGCACCCCGCUCUGUCCUUGCCUCGCGGCUCCACUCCCAUAACCCUACCCCCUCCUCUCCUCUGCGCCGCCGCCGCCGCCGUCGCCAGUCCUACUCCCCUCACACCGCGCCCCCACGGCCCUUGAGGCGCUGCGCCAGAUCCAAUCCGACCACGGCGCCGUGCGACGCGACGGCGAGUGGGCGCCCGCCCUCCCCGUCCGUGAGCUCGUCCCCGGGGACGUCGUGCAGUGAGUGGGCGAGAGCAGUUGAAGUGAAGGCUCGAAGCAGGCAAGCAGCCGUGACUCGAUGGGGUGCGAGGCGGAGGCGGAGGAGCACGUCUCCGGUCUCCCCGAUUCCGUUCCGGUGGUGGCGUGAUGGGGCCCGCUGACUGGCCGAGCGGGUCAGCGAGCGAUGACGACGACCAAGGGAGAAGGGGAACGGCGCUGCAGCGGCGUGUUGGGGCCUAGGGAGCAAGCGACAGACGCGAUAUGCAGGCUGGGGCCAGGAGAGCUGACUAGAGACGAGGGUUGGGGAGACCGGAACACCCGGCACACCCUUUAGCUACGCCAAUGCCGCUCAAGCUCUGUCGAGACAUGGAACCGAAGCCGUGAGGCGGACAUCAUCAUUUUGUCAGACUAAGUGUGGAGUUACAAGUAUCAUUUUUUCACAAAGGAAGAAAUUCGGAGUAAUUUUCGCUCUUCAUGUUGUGAGAGAACCUGUUCAGUAGGAUGCCAACAUGCAUCAGGAAGCCAACGGACAGCCAGAGCUGGAAGGCAUGGAGCUUGAGCUGCAGUGACGAUGACAACUUGGGUGUCAGCUGCAAAAAACUACAGUUCAAAGUGUUCAACCAAGUGGUGAAUUUUGCUGUGAUUUCCGUGUGUCCAUCCAAAGGAAGUAGAUGAUUGAUAGAGAUUCAGAGGGAGCAAUUGAUAUAGAGAGUUGUUGUGGUUCCUAUUUCUUCAGAUUAUGUUUCUAUUGCUAUUGCGGCCUGAGGUCCAUCCCCGAUCGCCCCUCCUCUCAAGCCGCUACGGUGGCCUAUAUGUUUUAGCGGGUUCCGUCACGCCGGGCUGCCCCAGUCCCUGACCCAGGGUUUGGUGGGCGAGCUCACUACCAUCCUCCCAGUGGUCUUCUUCCUCGCUUGAUUCUUGGGCGCCCCAUCUAUUCUGGACGAGCACCUUCCAGUGGUGGGUGAGGAGAUCUGGCAUGAACCACGCGCCGAGAGGAGCUCAAUUUCUGCUGCCUCUGCACGCCCUAGGCCUAAUCUCACCAAUCUUUGCUACACUUCACAUCAUGAGGGAAGGAGGAUGCGUCCAUCGCAACACUCAAGCAAAUCAGAUGACAAGGUGUUUGGAGCAAGCUACUCAUAGCCAACUACAUAGUUUAGUACAAUGCUGUAUUAAAGCAGUGUAAAUAAAUAACUUAUAUGGCCUACUUUUGGUAUAUAGUACCGAACCUUGAUCUUUAGGUAUUUCACGCUACAAUUGUUAACAAAUGCACCAAUGGUUUGUAACGAGAUUUGAUGUUUUUAGUUGGACCAUUACUGUUGUAAGUAAAUAUCAUCUUCUGCUUUUUGAGUAAUACUAUCAGGUGUUGGGUUGUUAGACUGAAUAAAU